Molecule: ribosomal RNA, 459 nt
Filed under: uncultured bacterium
Lineage: Bacteria
Description: partial 16S ribosomal RNA
Rfam family: Bacterial small subunit ribosomal RNA
Source: RNAcentral
CCUACGCGCGGCAGCAGUGAGGAAUAUUGGUCAAUGGACGAGAGCCUGAACCAGCCAAGUAGCGUGAAGGAAGACGGUCCUAUGGGUUGUAAACCUCUUUUGUCUGGGAUCAAAAGACGCCACGCGUGGCAUUCCGAGAGUACCCGAUGAACAAGCAUCGGCUAACUCCGUGCCAGCAGCCGCGGUAAUACGGAGGAGACGAGCGUUAUCCGGAUUUAUUGGGUUUAAAGGGUGCGCAGGCGGAUGAUCAAGUCGGUGGUAAAAUUUAGGGGCGAACCCUCUACGAGCCGUUGAAACUGGUUGUCUUGAGUGCGGGAGAGGUAGGCGGAAUGCGUGGUGUAGCGGUGAAAUGCAUAGAUAUCACGAAGAACUCCGAUUGCGAAGGCAGUUCACUGGACUGCAACUGACACUGAGGCUCGAAAGUGUGGGUAUCAAACAGGAUUAGAUACCCGAGUAGUC